GAUGAAGAACGCAGCGAAAUGCGAUAAGUAAUGCGAAUUGCAGAAUUUCCGUGAGUCAUCGAAUCUUUGAACGCACAUUGCGCCCAUUGGCAUUCCGAUGGGCAUGCCUGUUCGAGCGUCAUUAUCCUCCCUCAAACCCCUGGGUUUGGUGUUGGGCUGUGUGGUGCCUGGCACCACUGGUCUCAAAGACAAUGACGGCGUCCGUGGGACCCUCGGUGCAACGAGCUUUUCGAAGCACGCGUCGAGUGGACAGUCUCUCCGGGCCGGUCACCUCUCCAAUUUUUCUCAGGUUGACCUCGGAUCAGGUAGGAAUACCCGCUGAACUUAAGCAUAUCAAUAAGCGGAGGA
RNAcentral lists this unclassified non-coding RNA (348 nucleotides) under soil metagenome. Its description in RNAcentral is "partial contains 5.8S ribosomal RNA, internal transcribed spacer 2, and large subunit ribosomal RNA". The stretch from base 1 to 121 matches the Rfam family "5.8S ribosomal RNA", at positions 35 to 154 of the family's 154-position model. The record is from RNAcentral.